Molecule: ribosomal RNA, 430 nt
Filed under: Pseudomonadota bacterium
Lineage: Bacteria; Pseudomonadati; Pseudomonadota
Description: Proteobacteria bacterium partial 16S ribosomal RNA
Rfam family: Bacterial small subunit ribosomal RNA
Source: RNAcentral
UGGGGAAUAUUUGACAAUGGGCGAAAGCCUGAUCCAGCCAUGCCGCGUGUGUGAAGAAGGCCUUAUGGUUGUAAAGCACUUUAAGCGAGGAGGAGGGUACUGGUAUUAAUACUACCAGCUACUGGACGUUACUCGCAGAAUAAGCACCGGCUAACUCUGUGCCAGCAGCCGCGGUAAUACAGAGGGUGCGAGCGUUAAUCGGAUUUACUGGGCGUAAAGCGUGCGUAGGCGGCUAAUUGAGUCGGAUGUGAAAUCCCCGAGCUUAACUUGGGAAUUGCAUUCGAUACUGGUUAGCUAGAGUGUGGGAGAGGAUGGUAGAAUUCCAGGUGUAGCGGUGAAAUGCGUAGAGAUAUGGAGGAAUACCGAUGGCGAAGGCAGCCAUCUGGCCUAACACUGACGCUGAGGUACGAAAGCAUGGGGAGCAAACAGG